GGACUGAUUAUAAGAGUAAGCUUACAGGCGUCUGUUUCUCAAUGGCGUUUUAUUUUAUUUUAUUUUUUUCCUUCUAUAUGGGUUUCACGUUGCUUUAUAGUUGUGGAUAUGCAUUAGGUUGUUUUUGACGGGGGAAAAGUUUCGCAUUCCGUGAAUGGACUUGAUUAUAGGAUAUUGAUAUCUAAAGCUUUUGCUUUGCCUUAAUUCU
Molecule: unclassified non-coding RNA, 208 nt
Filed under: Hevea brasiliensis (rubber tree)
Lineage: Eukaryota; Viridiplantae; Streptophyta; Magnoliopsida; Malpighiales; Euphorbiaceae
Source: RNAcentral